This 22-nucleotide microRNA is filed under the name Ananas comosus (pineapple). RNAcentral describes it as "microRNA s0943_c122a". Lineage: Eukaryota; Viridiplantae; Streptophyta; Magnoliopsida; Poales; Bromeliaceae. The record is from RNAcentral.
AAAGCUGAUCCCCACACGGGAA